UUAAUUGAAGAGUUUGAUCAUGGCUCAGAUUGAACGCUGGCGGCAGGCUUAACACAUGCAAGUCGAGCGGAAACGACAAUAUUGACCCUUCGGGUGAUUUAUUGGGCGUCGAGCGGCGGACGGGUGAGUAAUGCCUGGGAAAUUGCCCUGAUGUGGGGGAUAACCAUUGGAAACGAUGGCUAAUACCGCAUAAUGUCUACGGACCAAAGAGGGGG
Molecule: ribosomal RNA, 215 nt
Filed under: Vibrio breoganii
Lineage: Bacteria; Pseudomonadati; Pseudomonadota; Gammaproteobacteria; Vibrionales; Vibrionaceae
Description: partial 16S ribosomal RNA
Rfam family: Bacterial small subunit ribosomal RNA
Source: RNAcentral